RNAcentral lists this unclassified non-coding RNA (428 nucleotides) under Melitaea cinxia (Glanville fritillary). RNAcentral's name for it is "misc RNA ENSMCXG00005016855.1". The record is from RNAcentral. Lineage: Eukaryota; Metazoa; Arthropoda; Insecta; Lepidoptera; Nymphalidae.
CGCUACUGGUGGCAUAAGGACUGGACUUUGCAACAUCGGCGGAGCACAGCGGUUCAGUUGCAGCGAGCAGUUGGCGGUACAGGGUACAGUCGGCGACAAGUACAGUGAGCAACAAAGUGUUUAGCAGUGUGAGUGAAAAUAAAACUAAAUAGUGUUAUGAACUUUCGUCCAUGGCGGGCGGAAUGUUUAAUUCUAUAAUAAAUUGUCAUAUACUUUACUUUACUAAGUAUGUAAUUUCGCAACUCGACGAUAGAUGUCGCUGUACGCAAUUAAAUCGCGCUAACGUUUUGUUCAACGGUAUGCAUAUAUGGUUUCCAUACAAAAUUGUAUCGCCUUUAUAUUCAAAUAAAUGGUCAUCACCUUGAAACGGCGUAUUUAUAUUGUAAAUCCCGUAGUAGUGGUGUAAUGUUUUUGUACGUGUUGUACAG